RNAcentral lists this ribosomal RNA (504 nucleotides) under uncultured Burkholderia sp. RNAcentral's name for it is "bacterial SSU rRNA". It matches the Rfam family "Bacterial small subunit ribosomal RNA", at positions 1 to 526 of the family's 1533-position model. Lineage: Bacteria; Pseudomonadati; Pseudomonadota; Betaproteobacteria; Burkholderiales; Burkholderiaceae. The record is from RNAcentral.
UAGAGUUUGAUCAUGGCUCAGAUUGAACGCUGGCGGCAUGCUUUACACAUGCAAGUCGAACGGUAACGCGGGGGCAACCCUGGCGACGAGUGGCGAACGGGUGAGUAAUACAUCGGAACAUGUCCUGGAGUGGGGGAUAGCUCGGCGAAAGCCGGAUUAAUACCGCAUACGCUCUGAGGAGGAAAGCGGGGGACUCGCAAGGGCCUCGCGCUGCGGGAGUGGCCGAUGUCGGAUUAGCUAGUUGGUGAGGUAAAGGCUCACCAAGGCGACGAUCCGUAGCUGGUCUGAGAGGAUGAUCAGCCACACUGGGACUGAGAUACGGCCCCGACUCCUACGGGAGGCAGCAGCUAARRAWYYUKGCGCAAUGGGCGAAAGCCUGACGCAGCAACGCCGCGUGGGGGACGAAGGUCUUCGGAUCGUAAACCCCUUUUGCGAGGGAAGAAGUUCUGACGGUACCUCGCGAAUAAGACACGGCUAACUACGUGCCAGCCGCCGCGGKAAUUC